Molecule: non-coding RNA, 376 nt
Organism: Ictidomys tridecemlineatus (thirteen-lined ground squirrel)
Lineage: Eukaryota; Metazoa; Chordata; Mammalia; Rodentia; Sciuridae
Source: RefSeq, a predicted model, not a curated record
AGGACAGAGAGAAUGCUGGAGUCCUCUUUGUCUCUCUCUCCACCCCACCUGCAUGAUGUGAAGAUAAAGUGAGAAAACGGCAUUCUGAAAUCCAGGAAGAGUGUCUCAAUAGAUACUCAAUCUGCUGGCGCCUUGAUCUUGGAUUUCCAGCCUCCAGAACUGUAGGAGAUGCACUUUCAAGGUGAAUUUUUCUAGGACCCUGGGGGACAUAGCAGGAAACAAGACAGACAAGAUUUCACAUUGCACGAGUUUGGAUGAGGAAAACAAUAUCUAAUGGAAAGACUCAUUAUCCCGAGAUCUGCUGAGUUCAUCUUGAAACUUGCCUUAUUUUAGCACAGUAUUGGUUAACCAGUAAAGGAUGGCGUUCUUACCUCCA